Molecule: long non-coding RNA, 349 nt
Organism: Triticum dicoccoides
Lineage: Eukaryota; Viridiplantae; Streptophyta; Magnoliopsida; Poales; Poaceae
Exons: 2
Source: RefSeq, a predicted model, not a curated record
AGCUCUCGUCUCCAGGACCUUCCGGAGGUUGAUGAUUUGCAGCAGAGGUGCGCUAUGCGGGCGGCCAAGCUGCGUGAUGUGGAGAGCACAACAGGUUAUCUUCCGAGCAACGGCUCUUAUCCGUUCCUGGUCGCUACUCACUCCGACGGAGGCCAGGGAGCUUUUGGUUACUGCUGCUAUCCGAUGGGAGAUGGUAGCUCGGGAUAUAUUCAGCCGGUUUGGAUGGCGGUCGUGUAACAGGAUAGGCAAUUAGUUUACCUGUCUAUUUUGGAGCCAAACGGCUGUGAUGUAUAAGUGCUUUGGCUAGCUUGUGUAUCUAGCCUUCGGGCUCUGUGUGAGCCUUUUCUUA